GCCGUGUGCCCAGGCGCCUGGCGUCCGCGUCGGCGAUCCGGGGUCUGGGCGCGGCGAGGUCUGGUGUGGCAGAUGUGGAUAGCUGGACCCUCCUGGGUGCCUCUGCGUUAUGUCGUUUGGUUGAUGCAUUUGGAGAGAAUCUGUGCUCUCCACAACUGCAGGGGCAACAUGCUUUCCUGGCCUCUUCAGAUCAGGGUGGCUGUUCUUGGGUGCUGCACCAAAACUCCAGCAGUGGGCUUUCUUCAAGGCAGGGGUUCCUAACAUCUACAUCGGUCAUUCGGACAGCCUUGCUUUUGGUUCACUGCCUUACACGGGGCUUCCAGAUGUUGACCUGCUUCAUUUUACAGUAUCAGGAAAUCACUUUCCCCUCAGAAAUGGCCGGCUCACCUCAUUCCUGCCAAGACCCAGGUCCGUGUUCUCACAGUGCUGCCAUCUUUCCUCCGUGUGAGCGUGGGCUGUGCGGAGAGUGGACCUCGGUGUGUGCGGGGCUGCGUGCACUGCCAUCGCUCCCUCUACACGAGCCGGCGUGGACCCAGGGCUGAGCUGUGACCACGAGGGCCAUCCCGACGAGCCGCCAUGGACCCAGGGCUGAGCUGUGACCAUGAGGGCUAUCCCGACGAGCUGCCGUGGACCCAGGGCUGAGCCGUGACCAUGAGGGCCAUCCCGAAACUGUGAUUGUUUUCUGAUGAAGAAACCAAGGCUUUGUGACUAACUCAACCCCUCAAGAAGGACAAAACUAGCAUCAGAGCCCCUUGCUCCUGGGUCUGGCAAGAAUGCCUCUUGUUUGCUGAGAGGUCCACAGAUUUACCCGGCUCAAGACUGGGAGAUGGGAGGUGACCAGGAUCCUCAGGGAUUUCCUAGGCUUCCACCCUCACCCAGACAUCACUGGACCGUCACUGAAACACCCGCUUCCAGUGUGCUCAGGUCCUGCAGCCUCCUGUCCAUCCUUGCCCCGCCUCCCGCCCGGAGGAAAGACUCUGACACUGCCCCUGGAAGAGGGAGGAGAGUGGAUGUGAUGAGUGAAGAUUUGGGUGGGGAAAGGAAGGCCUGAGUCCUGGGAGGAAGAGCUCUCCCCGCCCCGAGCCCCCGGAGACUGUGAGCAAGGCUGAGACGCCUCCUUCCUGGUGCUCAAGCUGCAGGUGUUGGAUAGGCCUCCAGAAGCCCAGAUUUUAAAUGACCGCUCCAGGUUAACCUGGGGAUGGUCAGGCAGAACAAGGAGGAGAGGCCAGCAGUGAAGGGCAGGGCUGGUGGGCAGUGGCUGGGGGU
Long non-coding RNA from Homo sapiens (human), 1266 nucleotides. Ensembl annotates it as SNAI3 antisense RNA 1. Its record names the gene SNAI3-AS1. Lineage: Eukaryota; Metazoa; Chordata; Mammalia; Primates; Hominidae. The record is from Ensembl.